UGGGGAAUAUUGCACAAUGGGCGAAAGCCUGAUGCAGCAACGCCGCGUGAGUGAUGAAGGCCUUCGGAUUGUAAAGCUCUGUCUUUUGGGACGAUAAUGACGGUACCAAAGGAGGAAGCCACGGCUAACUACGUGCCAGCAGCCGCGGUAAUACGUAGGUGGCGAGCGUUGUCCGGAUUUACUGGGCGUAAAGGGUGCGUAGGCGGAUGUUUAAGUGAGAUGUGAAAUACCCGGGCUUAACUUGGGUGCUGCAUUUCAAACUGGAUAUCUAGAGUGCAGGAGAGGAGAAUGGAAUUCCUAGUGUAGCGGUGAAAUGCGUAGAGAUUAGGAAGAACACCAGUGGCGAAGGCGAUUCUCUGGACUGUAACUGACGCUGAGGCACGAAAGCGUGGGUAGCAAACAGGAUUAGAUACCCUGGUAGUCCACGCCGUAAACGAUGAGUACUAGGUGUAGGAGGUAUCGACCCCUUCUGUGCCGCAGUAAACACAUUAAGUACUCCGCCUGGGAAGUACGAUCGCAAGAUU
RNAcentral lists this ribosomal RNA (524 nucleotides) under uncultured bacterium. RNAcentral's name for it is "partial 16S ribosomal RNA". It matches the Rfam family "Bacterial small subunit ribosomal RNA", at positions 355 to 895 of the family's 1533-position model. The record is from RNAcentral.